RNAcentral lists this ribosomal RNA (532 nucleotides) under Microbacterium sp. 603(2010). Its description in RNAcentral is "bacterial SSU rRNA". It matches the Rfam family "Bacterial small subunit ribosomal RNA", at positions 79 to 624 of the family's 1533-position model. The record is from RNAcentral. Lineage: Bacteria; Bacillati; Actinomycetota; Actinomycetes; Micrococcales; Microbacteriaceae.
CUUGCUGGGUGGAUCAGUGGGGAACGGGUGAGUAACACGUGAGCAACCUGCCCCUGACUCUGGGAUAAGCGCUGGAAACGGCGUCUAAUACUGGAUACGAACCACAGUCGCAUGGCUGGUGGUUGGAAAGAUUUUUUGGUUGGGGAUGGGCUCGCGGCCUAUCAGCUUGUUGGUGAGGUAAUGGCUCACCAAGGCGUCGACGGGUAGCCGGCCUGAGAGGGUGACCGGCCACACUGGGACUGAGACACGGCCCAGACUCCUACGGGAGGCAGCAGUGGGGAAUAUUGCACAAUGGGCGCAAGCCUGAUGCAGCAACGCCGCGUGAGGGAUGACGGCCUUCGGGUUGUAAACCUCUUUUAGCAAGGAAGAAGCGAAAGUGACGGUACUUGCAGAAAAAGCGCCGGCUAACUACGUGCCAGCAGCCGCGGUAAUACGUAGGGCGCAAGCGUUAUCCGGAAUUAUUGGGCGUAAAGAGCUCGUAGGCGGUUUGUCGCGUCUGCUGUGAAAUCCCGAGGCUCAACCUCGGGCCUGC